AGAUAAUUAUAAUCUUGAAUCAAAAAAAUUAAGAAAAAAUGUGAAGGGUGUAUAAAGCAUAGUUAGUUAAUUCGGAUUCGGCAAAAAUUUGGUACAGGUAUAAUUCAGAUAAAAUUCGUUUUUUAAUUUUUAAAUUCGUUGAAAAAUACGGCUAAAAAACAGAUAUGCCAAUUAUUCGGAUACGUGAUUUAUACGGAUAUUAUACGUUCACCAAUUAAAAAUUCGGGAUAAAAAAUUCGGCUAUUAAAUUAAGUUUUUUUUUCUCUCAAGAUUUAUGCUAUUAGCAUAAAUACUCAUAUUUCUUAAGAAUAUAAUAAUAAAGAGCUACAAAAUUAAGCUAAUUAAGUAAAAAAAAUAACAAACUAUAUUAUGCCUCAAAAUAAAUAAAUAAUUAAGUAAAUAAGAGAUUAAGAUACUUCAAAAGAGAUUAAAUUUUUUGAUUGAGCGAAAUU
RNAcentral lists this long non-coding RNA (452 nucleotides) under Ananas comosus (pineapple). RNAcentral describes it as "long non-coding RNA (ACOM_LNC031353)". Lineage: Eukaryota; Viridiplantae; Streptophyta; Magnoliopsida; Poales; Bromeliaceae. The record is from RNAcentral.